GAUGAAGAACGCAGUGAAAUGCGAUAAGUAGUGUGAAUUGCAGAAUUCAGUGAAUCAUCGAAUCUUUGAACGCACAUUGCGCCCCUUGGUAUUCCAUGGGGCAUGCCUGUUCGAGCGUCAUUUGUACCUUCAAGCUCUGCUUGGUGUUGGGUGAUUGUCUAUCUUUAUAGACUCGCCUUAAAGUCAUUGGCAGCCGGCAUAUUGGCCUGGGAGCGCAGCACAAGUCGCGCUUCUUGUCAUGAAUGUUGGCGUCCAGUAAGUCUACAUAUUUUGCUCUUGCCCUCGGAUCAGGUAGGGAUACCCGCUGAACUUAAGCAUAUCAAUAAGCGGAGGA
Molecule: unclassified non-coding RNA, 334 nt
Filed under: soil metagenome
Description: partial contains 5.8S ribosomal RNA, internal transcribed spacer 2, and large subunit ribosomal RNA
Rfam family: 5.8S ribosomal RNA (bases 1-120)
Source: RNAcentral